GACGAACGCUGGCGGCGUGCUUAACACAUGCAAGUCGAACGAAGUGGCGAACGGGUGAGUAACGCGUAAUCAACCUGCCCUUCAGGGGGGGACAACAGUUGGAAAAGACUGCUAAUACCGCAUACUGAAGGAGGGGCUUGCGUCUGAUUAGCUAGUUGGAGGGGUAACGGCCGACCAAGGCGAUGAUCAGUAGACGGGCUGGGAGGAUGAACGGCCACAUUGGGACGGGGACACGGCCCAGACUCCUACGGGAGGCAGCAGGGGGGAAGCUUCCGGAAUGGACGAAAGUCUGACGGAGCAACGCCGCGUGAGUGAGGAAGGCCUUCGGGUUGUAAAGCUCUGUUAAUCGGGACGCGGUACCGGAAUAGAAAGCCACGGCUAACUACGUGCCAGCAGCCGCGGUAAUUC
RNAcentral lists this ribosomal RNA (408 nucleotides) under uncultured bacterium. RNAcentral's name for it is "partial 16S ribosomal RNA". It matches the Rfam family "Bacterial small subunit ribosomal RNA", at positions 28 to 526 of the family's 1533-position model. The record is from RNAcentral.